This is a long non-coding RNA of Passer domesticus (house sparrow), 1973 nucleotides long. RefSeq lists it as uncharacterized. NCBI's taxonomy places the organism in Eukaryota, Metazoa, Chordata, Aves, Passeriformes, Passeridae. The transcript has 2 exons. The record is from RefSeq and is a predicted model, not a curated record.
CUCAAGGCCUAGGGAAGAGGUGUGGGUCUGCCCCUCCCUUCACCCUAUUGUCAUUAAAGAGGCUGCUUGUCCCUGUCUGGACUGGGCCAGCUUUGGACAUUACUGUCCUGCCUCAAGGGAACAUUUCAGGAUGCUGCUUGGAAGCCAUGCCCAUGUCACUUUUGGCUUUGGUCAACUCAGCUCUGCUGCUCUCCUCAUGAAGGAAAUAGGUCCUGUGAACAGGUUAUGGGAACAACACCCUGUGUCUCCUAUGGACUGAUCCUGCCUCCAGGAACCCACAGGUAUCCAGGGUGAUCCAUGUGGUACUCACUGGUCUGGGGAAUGCUGACCAUUGUUGUUUCUCCUUGCAGGGGUGGUCCAGGUCCAGCUUCCUUGUGUCUGUCUUGCAAAGCCUCACUUAUCUUUGGAGCCUGGAUAAAGCUCUGGAGAGUCUUGGCAUGGAUAUCAUUGCUGCUUCCACUUGUGACCUUUAGCAACACAUCCUGAUGGGAAUUGUUGUCCAAGCUGGAAAUCCUGUCUGCUCUGCUGCAGGCCUCCUGCUCCCCAAGCAGCUCGAGGUCUUUGGCCAAGGCAGUCAACCCUUCCUGCAGGGAAAUCACUCUUGUCCUGUGGCACGGGGCAGCCACCCCUGGCACAGGCUGCUCCACUCCCUGGGCUGGGCUGCUCCACUUUAACAUCCUUAAAAAUAUUUUAUAUUAAAAAAAAAAGGCAGCAACCCAGGGAGUGAGGAGACAAAAGAAGAGGAAGUCAGGAGUUAUCACAAGUAGCUCCAAAGGGAUUUUUUUUCCUGGCUUAGAAAGCAACUGUGCUGAAGCUCAACCUGGGUCAUACCUGGGAAGUGGAAAACCCUGAAAGCCAUUCCAGGUCCUGAGCUGAAUGCCAGGAGGGUCAAAGAACCCUGUAAAUAAUCCACUUCUCAAAUGUUGCCUUUGGUUAUGCUUGCACCACUGGAUGUGGCUGUGUUGCUUCCUGAGCACACAUUUUGAGGCCUUGGAAACUGAAAGUUGGAUGAUAUCCGCCAGGCAAGGGUUUUUUCAGGUCUCCGGGGAAAUAUCGACCAUGGCUUGGUCCAGAGGAGGGGAAGCAGCACAAGUUGUGCCAUGGUGAGUUUUUCUGGAGAAAGCUGGAUUCCUCGCUGCAAUUAGUCAAAUGCUGUGAUUCAGCCCUCUCCCAGUAAAUGAGGCAUCCAAAAGUAUGCAGGGAGUUUCUCUUCCUUGAAAUUCUGCUCCAGAGGGUACAUGUGGGCUGUAUAACACAAGUUUUCUGUCCUAGAGAUAAAAAUUGAACUUGAUUACCCCAAAAGCCUCCUUUGAUCACUUUUCUUAAAUGAACAUCCUGUGUGUAUCACCUUAUCUUCUUGUCCACCUUGCCCCAGGGUACAGUGGCAAACUGACUAUUUUCUAGCUGAUAUUCCAACUAUAUUUUCUGUGUAAAAUUCCAGCCAAGACUUCAUGUGUGCAUGUUUCUGUAGCUGGGGGGCGUGGGACAGGCUCUGCAGCCCAGCCCAGGCUUUGGAGACCCAGGAUCACUUCUGACCGUGCCAAAGGCAGUUUGAAUAUCAAAAUAAUGAACAAAUCAGAGGAAAUUACCAUGAGCAUGCCAGAAGCUUCCCUAUAACCUCAGCUGGGAAGACUUAGGAGAAGUUUUGUGUGCAUCUUUAGCAAGAUGAGGCUGAGGAGGAGACGUGGUGUUUUGGUUAGAAAUAUUAAUAAAAGGUGUUGUUUUCUCCUACAGACCUGACCUACUGCUCCAAUGACCCCGGUACUGGCACAUGCUGUGGUUUUAGCCAUGACUUACAAAAUUCUGCUCACCUGAAGCAUCAGGGAAGAAGAGACAGGGAACUGAGUGAUUGCAUGGAAAAGAUGCAGCCCGGUGGCACAAGUGUGAGGGGUCAAAGUGGGGCAGGGAAUCCCUGAUUCCUUUCUUCUCUGGAAUCCCUGAGCCCCCUUGUCCAUUAAAAAGUGGGAUCCGUG